This is a long non-coding RNA of Lathyrus oleraceus (garden pea), 1855 nucleotides long. RefSeq lists it as uncharacterized. The transcript has 4 exons. The record is from RefSeq and is a predicted model, not a curated record. Lineage: Eukaryota; Viridiplantae; Streptophyta; Magnoliopsida; Fabales; Fabaceae.
GUGUAAUAAUAGUAUAUGUAUGAUAAGUCAUAAGAUUACAUCGGGUGCUAGUUAUUUAUCUACUGAAAAUAAAUCAAAAUUGCCACUAGCUGCUGUCCACUCAUUCUCAAAGGAUUAUCAGAAACAAAGAAAAAUUGUGAAAGUUGAAGAAAUGUGAUGGGGCUUUAUUGUGGUGCAUGAUGGGUUAAGUUUGAAAAGAAGAUUUUAAUUUAAUUAAAAGAGUUUCCAACAACCUCUCUCGAUGACAAUGGAAUUUGGCUAAAGAAGAAGCAUACAAAGCAUCGACACAAAUGGCCACAACCUACAGUGGACAAUGGAGAAGGAUGCCAUCGAUUUUCUAGAAAAGUUUCGUGUUUUAAAUGUGAGAAAGUUGAAGAAUUAUGAGGAGGAAGGGAAUGUGCUCAAAGAAUGUUUACGUGGCAGAGAGGGAAGCUUUACUAGAGAUGAUGAAGGUCGAGAAGUGUCAGGCGGGUGUUGUCAACUAAAAAAACGGUCUGUCCAUUUUAUUGAUUUAUACUUAAAAAAAGAGGAAGCUCGUGGACGAGUGGAACUUACAUGAGAAAAUUAUUUGGUGCAAUCUCUCUAUCUAUUUUCUUUUUAUUUUUUGUUAUUUAUUUUCUAUUGCAUAUCUUUUUUAAUUGGUAUGAACACACUUUUUUUAGGCAUAGACUCUAAAUUUAUUCAAACUGAUUUUUGUUUCUAAAAAUGAACAAAACCAAUCUAGGAUGAAUUUUCCUUCUCAAAUAAAAACAAAUCGUCUUCAAAGAAAAUAUCGUCUAAAAAUGUGACUUUAUAGGGAGGAUUUACAGAAUUUGAUAGUUUUAUUACAAAAAUAAUUAAAAAUAUACUAAGAGUUGAUAAAAAUUGCACAAUCUUUUUAAGUAGUAUAGUGAUUGAAAUUUACACUUUAAAAAUUAUUGAGUGGAAUAUCGUGGUAGAACUCAUCCCCUUCAUUUUAUUUCUCUGCACAACUUUCAACUGGACUACUUUAGUCACAAAAAUGCACAAUUAAUAUAUUGAUAAAUUUUCAAAAGAUAUAAGUUUAAGCACAAGUUAUUACGUAAUUAUGAAAUAAUGUUUACCUCCAAUUUGUCUCUUUCACUCUCUCUUCUAGAAUUCGAAUUCUGCACUUGUUAUCUUUCACCAACUUCUAUGAAUUUCGAGUUCUGAGCCUAUCGGCAUUUAAAAUUGAAUGAAAUUUUCUAUAAUUCAUAGGUAUUUACUGUUUUUUCCUACACGCACGUGAUCAGAGUGAAAGAGAUGAAAGACUCAAAGAUAGAAAUAGAGUGAGAUUCAUUGACACAAAGAAAAUGUUAUAUCCCAAAAAUUUCCCUAUCUUUCUCCAUUUUAUCUGCAUACUCAUUAUUAUUUAGGACAUUCAUUUAUAAUUGCUUUUUUCAAAUAAGCAUCAUUGAUUCUAGGUUUUUGCUAAUUAUGACAUAAAGAUAUGGAUCAAGUCUCCGUGGAAUCCUAAUUCUUGGACUAUGGUCUUUGGUUACUAUGGAUUGCAUCAUGACAUUGGAAUUGAUUAUAGAGUUCAAGUUUUACCUGGUCAACCAUGAGAAAUUAACUUUGAUGGACUAAUCUCUUUAUGAGCUUGUUCAAUACACUAGUCCAUUAGUUAUUUGGUUUGGAUUCAGGACAAGGCAUUAACAUUGCAAAAUUCAUACAAGAUUCAAGAAUUCAUUCAAGUUCAUAUUCAAAUACAAGAUCAAAUAUUCAAACAUCAAGAUUUGGAGGGAAAUCACUUCUUUCUUGAAUUACAUCAUUUCAAAAAGUCAUUUUUCAUUUCAAAAACAUCCAUUUCACAUUACAAAUCCGAAUUACAAGAGUCUAUACAAAAGUUACAUCAUUU